GGCAUUCCUCCAGGGGCUGUGUAGGGGGACACUUCCCCCCGCCGCCCCGGAGCUCACAUGCUGGGAAGCCAAGGGCUGUGAAGGCUGCCAGAAGGGAAGGCAACUUGUUUCCCCUGUUUUCCUGACCCCCGGUCACUCUGCUUGAAACGGAAAAUGGACAAGACGCGACUGACCCCAGCCCAUCAGAAAAGGCAAGGAUGGGGCUUCUGAAUGAGAUGCAACGGUCUCUUGGCUCUGUAUGUACCCAAGGUUUCUCCCAAACAAGACCAAAGUACCCGUGUCUUCUCUCAUUCGAAAUGUUUCGCUUCCAUUAGGUGAUGGACAGUUAUUGAAGUAACUCAGCAGUGGGAUUUUAAAUGGUUAUAAUAUGAACCACUCUCAAGGUAACCAUUACUAUCUCUCAAAAACAUUUUAUUACUAAGGCAAAUGUAUGUUUUAGCAAUGCUCAGAUGGCUACUUAAUGUCAUGUUUAUCCCAGGCCAGACUCUCCUCAAAAUAAAUGAGGGUUUAAGAUCCAGUUUCC
Long non-coding RNA from Alligator sinensis (Chinese alligator), 523 nucleotides. RefSeq lists it as uncharacterized. NCBI's taxonomy places the organism in Eukaryota, Metazoa, Chordata, Crocodylia, Alligatoridae. The record is from RefSeq and is a predicted model, not a curated record. The transcript is spliced from 3 exons.